RNAcentral lists this ribosomal RNA (460 nucleotides) under uncultured bacterium. RNAcentral's name for it is "partial 16S ribosomal RNA". It matches the Rfam family "Bacterial small subunit ribosomal RNA", at positions 338 to 795 of the family's 1533-position model. The record is from RNAcentral.
CCUACGGGUGGCAGCAGUGAGGAAUAUUGGUCAAUGGGCGCGAGCCUGAACCAGCCAAGCAGCGUGAAGGAUGACUGCCCUACGGGUUGUAAACUUCUUUUAUAAAGGAAUAAAGUGAGGCACGCGUGCCUUGUUGUAUGUACUUUAUGAAUAAGGAUCGGCUAACUCCGUGCCAGCAGCCGCGGUAAUACGGAGGAUCCGAGCGUUAUCCGGAUUUAUUGGGUUUAAAGGGUGCGUAGGUGGUUUGUUAAGUCAGUUGUUAAAGUUUGCGGCUCAACCGUAGAAUUGCAAUUGAUACUGGCAGCCUUGAGUACAGUUGAGGUAGGCGGAAUUCGUGGUGUAGCGGUGAAAUGCUUAGAUAUCACGAAGAACUCCGAUUGCGAAGGCAGCUUACUAAACUGCCACUGACAUUGAUGAUCGAAAGUGUGGGUAUCAAACAGGAUUAGAUACCCUUGUAGUC